AUUGAACGCUGGCGGCAUGCCUUACACAUGCAAGUCGAACGGCAGCACGGGUGCUUGCACCUGGUGGCGAGUGGCGAACGGGUGAGUAAUACAUCGGAACGUACCUUAUCGUGGGGGAUAACGCAGCGAAAGCUGUGCUAAUACCGCAUACGCCCUGAGGGGGAAAGCGGGGGAUCGCAAGACCUCGCGCGAUUAGAGCGGCCGAUGCCUGAUUAGCUUGUUGGUGGGGUAAAAGCCCACCAAGGCGACGAUCAGUAGCUGGUCUGAGAGGACGAGAAGCCACACUGGUACUGCGACACGGCCCAGACUCCUACGGGAGGCAGCAGUGGGGAAUUUUGGACAAUGGGGGCAACCCUGAUCCAGCAAUGCCGCGUGAGUGAAGAAGGCCUUCGGGUUGUAAAGCUCUUUUGUCAGGGAAGAAACACCGGCUCUAACACAGUCCGGGAAUGACGGUACCUGAAGAAUAAGCACCGGCUAACUACGUGCCAGCAGCCGCGGUAA
This 501-nucleotide ribosomal RNA is filed under the name uncultured bacterium. Its description in RNAcentral is "partial 16S ribosomal RNA". It matches the Rfam family "Bacterial small subunit ribosomal RNA", at positions 29 to 523 of the family's 1533-position model. The record is from RNAcentral.